CCCGGCUUCAGCUGCUGUCGGGAGGUGGAGGGAAGACGCUCUUCUCGGCCUCUGUCGUGACAGAUCGCGACUGGCCGAGGCGUAGCGGGUCUCCGAGGGGGCGCAACUCGGCCCCACAUGUGCCGCGUUCGGGAUGUGAACCUGAAAGCACCAAGACUGGCCCUGACUUGGCCGGGUGUGAGCAUUAGUGGCGCUGCAUGCAAGCCCCCUUCAGUCUCAGAAUUAGAGAGCUGAAUGCAAAAAUGAGCUGCCAGUUCUUACAAGACAGGACAUUUCUAGAGCCUUGUGCUCUAUGACAUUUUCAAGCCCCAUCGACAGAAAGCCUUUGGGGAAACUGAGGCCAGGAGCAAUUUCAACUGGAGCAUCUGAACCAGGUGUUGUCAUGGGGCUGAGACAAGCAGUGCCCAGACUCCCAGUGCUACGAGCUGCAUGGCUGCCCCAAAGCUACAGCUCCUCCUAACCACAAGGACUUUGGUUGAUGGAGCUGGCGCCAGCGAGUUCCCUGAAGAGUUCAGAAGUCAAGAACUGAGGCAGGUACGGGGAGGGGGGAAACCUGACCCCGGCAGGCGGGGGGUGGGGGGAGGUGGCCAACCGGGCACCAAGCUGGGCAUGGGGCUGCCAGGAGCUGCUGCCUGCUGUAUCCCUAUAGUGUUCCCAGUGUCCCUGCCGUGUCCUUGCUAUGGGGCUGUGGUGAUAAGAGGGCCCCCAGUGAGGGUGUUGAGGUGUCACAGCACCCUGAUGCUGGGAUAUAAUGGGUAGACAGACAUGCAAGAACACAGCUGUGCAAGUGACUGUGGAAAUGUGGGAUUGUGGGGCAGCACAAUGAGCAAAAUACUCAUCUCCCUGCAGGAGAGGAGGAGGAGGCAGGUGCAGGAGGUGGUAGUGACAGUGGUGGGCAUAGAGGCACAACAGAGGCAGGGACAAAGCAGGACACAGCCAGGAGCAGCAGGCACCCCUGCAGCCCUCACCAUGGGGGGAGCAGCUGGAACCAGUUUGUGCCUUGGGCAAUGAGGCCCCAUGGCAAAACCUCACAACACAGGAAGGUAGGCCCCGGCUCUCACCACCUCCUCCUGUGCUUCCCCCUCCAAAGGCAACUCCUUCCAGGCCUGGGCAUCUGUGGGGACCUUCCACCUGUGCCUCCACUCAGGGGUCUGAAAACAGGGGCACCUCCUCCUGCUCAGCUUUUGAGAGGUGCUUAGAUUUGAAAACCCAUCUGCAGAAAGGGGGGAGGCAGAGCUCCACCAGAGCCAUUGCCGUUCUCACUCCUUACCAACUCCAGGACCAAAAGCCUCCUUCUGCCCCACAUUGGGUCCCACUGUUGCUCUUGGGGGAAAUAUUGUCUUCCUGAGUCUCCCCCUCCCUCCACAACAUCUCCACACUGCCCUGCACACACCCAGUGCAGCAGUGCUGCCUUUAUAGGGCCGAGCCGGGUGGUGAAUUUUUUUUCUUUUUAGGCGGGGGGGGGGCCGGGGAAGAAGAAACUCCUUUUCUCGUGUGCUCCUCUCCGCUGUCAUUCACUCGGCUCCUUUCAGCAUGCAGCCAAUGGAGAGUGAGGGCCUGGGAGCAGCAGGCCUUGGGUAGUGUGAUUGAUGGGCGAACAGGACGGAGGGGCUCUCGCACACGCACUCUGCCGCUCUCUGCUCCGCACCGCGGGGCUUCGGCUUCACAUUGCCGGUGGGGGCUUCGGCUCCUGGUCCUCGCGUGUCGGUGAUGGUAUCUUGGGUGGGGGUGUGAGGUGCUAUUGGGGUCAGAGAGUCUC
Molecule: long non-coding RNA, 1759 nt
Organism: Coturnix japonica (Japanese quail)
Lineage: Eukaryota; Metazoa; Chordata; Aves; Galliformes; Phasianidae
Source: Ensembl